RNAcentral lists this ribosomal RNA (517 nucleotides) under uncultured bacterium. Its description in RNAcentral is "partial 16S ribosomal RNA". It matches the Rfam family "Bacterial small subunit ribosomal RNA", at positions 899 to 1397 of the family's 1533-position model. The record is from RNAcentral.
ACUCAAAUGAAUUGACGGGGACCCGCACAAGUAGGGGAACGUGUGGUUUAAUUCGAGACAAAACGAAGAACCUCACCAGGGUUUGAAAUGUAUGUUUUAGGAUCCUGAAAGGGAAACGAACCGCAAGGUAGCAUACACAGGUGCUGCAUGGCUGUCGUCAGCUCGUGUCGUGAGAUGUCGUCUUAAGUGACUCAACGAGCGCAACCCCCAUCAUUAGUUGUAUCACUCUAAUGAAACCGCCCCCGAUAAAGGGCCUUAGAAGCUUCUAAGACUUUUUGUCGGGGGAGGAAGGUGGGGAUGACGUCAAGUCCUCAUAGCCCUUAUGUCCUGGGCUACACACACGUUACAAUGCAUAGGAACAACGGGCUGCAAACUCGCGAGGGUAAGCUAAUCCCUAAAAACUAUGCUCAGUUCAGAUUGUAGUCUGCAAUUCGACUGCAUGAAGAUGGACUUACUAGUAAUCGCAGGUCAGCAUACUGCGGUGAAUACGUUCUCGGGUCUUGUACACACCGCCCGU